This 489-nucleotide ribosomal RNA is filed under the name uncultured bacterium. RNAcentral's name for it is "bacterial SSU rRNA". It matches the Rfam family "Bacterial small subunit ribosomal RNA", at positions 29 to 498 of the family's 1533-position model. The record is from RNAcentral.
AACGAACGCUGGCGGCGUGCCUAACACAUGCAAGUCGAACGCGAAAAGCAGUAAUGCUGAGUAGAGUGGCGCACGGGUGAGUAACACGUAAAUGACAUGUCCUCGAGACGGGAAUAACCAGCCGAAAGGCUGGCUAAUACCCGGUAAGCCCACGUCUUUGGAGAUGAGGGAAAAGGGUCGGGAAUUUUCGAAUCCGAUCGCUUGAGGAGUGGUUUGCGGCCCAUCAGGUAGUUGGCGAGGUAAAAGCUCACCAAGCCUAAGACGGGUAGCUGGUCUGAGAGGAUGAUCAGCCACACUGGAACUGAGACACGGUCCAGACUCCUACGGGAGGCAGCAGUGGGGAAUCUUGCGCAAUGGGAGCAAUCCUGACGCAGCAACGCCGCGUGGGUGAUGAAGGUCUUCGGAUCGUAAAGCCCUGUCGGAGGGGAAGAUGCUUGGAACGUCUAAUAGAUGAGCCAGGUGACGGUACCCUCAAAGGAAGCACCGGCU